Suricata suricatta (meerkat) is the source of this 1053-nucleotide long non-coding RNA. RefSeq lists it as uncharacterized. The transcript has 4 exons. The record is from RefSeq and is a predicted model, not a curated record. Lineage: Eukaryota; Metazoa; Chordata; Mammalia; Carnivora; Herpestidae.
CUCCAACUUUAUUGUUUAGCCUGGAUUGCUCCUGCAUGCCUGCUGGGGUGUCACAGCACAGAAGACAGGAGAAGAUGAUGUUUUGGGAAACAGCGUGCUGCCUUUGCCUUUGGAGAACGAACCCAGAUACACAGCGGAGUUGAGUUCAGUACUUACACUCACCUAGUGAGCCAGGCUUUGGGUCCAGUGCUUGGAGAGGGUGCUGAGGGGCGAGACGCAGAUUCCAGGAACCUGGCCAAGUGGGAAGUGGCACAAGGGCUCACAACCGAGCCGUUCCCCUGUGCUAUCUUAUUGAACGUCUCCAUGAAUCACCCAUGGGGCAGGCAGACUCAGCCGUGCUCUGGAGGGGUAGGAGACGGAGGCUGCCGGGGCACUGUCACCUGGCACCUGGAGUCACCUACAGGACCCAAAUUCUGUGGGAUUCAAGGUCAGCCUGGGUGCGUGGCAAUAAGGCUGUAAGGAGAAACAUGAGGUGGCCGGAGACGGAGCAUCAGAGACAAGAACUGGAUGGGUCGAGAAGCCUGCCGGCUCGGAGCCCUCUGUUUGCAGGAUUGGUAGCUGCCGUGAGACGGUUUCUGCCCACACAGAGGAAAACAGGCUUCCAGAGUGUGUAAUCAACACAGUCUGCGUGAGACGGGAAAGCUAGUCCUCUGGUGACGUGGGAGCAUGGCCGACAGAUCAGGGAAGCCCCUCAUCUGCUGCAGGAAAUAGUGAAAUCAUUCCAGUUUAUUGCUGCUCCUGCAUCUAUGUUCUGUGCCAUGUGAUUUGGAAGCUUUUCCUCUAAAAAGGUGGCUGUAGUCCCGCCCUUCACCUUGGCUUCGGGCCCACCGACUGGUUAACCAAUGGGCUGUUGAGGGGGAUGAUGUAACUAAAGGCUUGGAAGGUGCCCACCUGAUCGGGCUUGCUCUCUUGUGCCUCUGCCCUCAUUGCCGUGCCAGGAACAUGCCCAGAUUGGUGCCCUGGCCCCAGGGGGAGGAUGAGCGACAGACAGAGCAGGACCAGAACGCCCCAGUCGAGCCCAGCCAAGAUCAGCCGACUCUUAGCUGAUCCAGA